This 2915-nucleotide unclassified non-coding RNA is filed under the name Leishmania donovani. RNAcentral's name for it is "gene:unknown". Lineage: Eukaryota; Euglenozoa; Kinetoplastea; Trypanosomatida; Trypanosomatidae. The record is from RNAcentral.
GCACAGCUUCCUCUCUUUUCCAUCUCCUUGUCUCCAUAUCAAAUUUUCUCUGUUUCACCUGCACCCGCCGAAGGUGCCGGCAACCUCACCGUGAUAUCAUGGUCUCCGCUACCGCCUCUUGGUGUUGGCGGACAGGUCUGGGCUAGCCCUAUGCCGGAGAGACCUGCGAUCAUGAGCAUAUGUGGACCAGCCCCCUACCGAAUCUCGUCUGUGAUUCAACACGUGCACGUGCGCUGCGGGCCCGUCGCGUGCACGUCUCGUGUCCGUCUGUCUGUGGUCGCUUUGGGGAGAGUGGAACACAUCAACGACGCCGGGGAGGUGGCAGUGUCGGUAGUUUCAGGGAAGCCGAUGCCAGCUGCACGGAUGACAGACUCGAUCACCGGCCUCAGACGCCAGAGGCCGAUAUACCCCCCCCCCCAAACACCGCGGUGCGCGAUGCGGCACGCGACGACAAACGCGACUUGGCUGCAGCCGUCCCACGCCAGGGGAGCAAGGGUGCCGAGCUCACGAGACGACAGGCGGCCAUCCUCGCCCAGUGCCACACGGACAUCUGGCCGUACUUUGGAUUCCCGCAGCGGUUGGCGAGUGGCAGCAACACGAUGGUGUGCAGACGGUGUGCUGCCCACUGCUCCGCUAACGUUGUGGUACCCCUCCCCCUGCCCGUGUUUAUGCUAUGAGGGCUUCCGGCCCGGCGCUGUGCCCGAUAUGCCACGCGAGACUCGCGAAUCGCACGACGCUUGACGCACACCUCGGUCGCGCUGGAUGGGCUUCCCCUGUCAGGUGUGUGUGGCUGCCUCCUCAGGAGGACAGGCGAUGAGCUCCUUGUGCGGAUGCGCAUGCGUAUGCACGGGCCCCUUCCCCUUGACACACCCGCUCCUGUCAGAGGCAUGCGGGCUCAGGAGAGGGCGGUGUGCUCCAUGCCUCCACGGACUCAUGGCAGCGUCCCCACCUGUCGCGGCACACGCGGGCAAGCCAUCCAGACACGCCCUCCCUCCGUGACACGGUCAGACAUGGAAGAUGGAGGUCGGCGAACCCACCAGUGGCCAAGGUCCUCCUGGAACAGGCCCCACGAUGCGAGAAUGCGAGCACUGUGCGCACGCGCUGCCGGCCGCAGCCGGCACGGCGCAUGAGAUCCAAGCAAGGCGUCGGGAGGCCAGCGGGGCACGAGUGAUGGACGGAAGAGGUGCGACGAGAUCCAUACGAGUGAGCCCCCGCAGUGCAUGUGUGCCGAAACAUGCGCGCCACCCCCUCCAUCCGACCGUGUGGGCUGAUGCGGCACAGAUGCCGGAAGUCUGACGUGAGCAUCCCGGGUUCCACCGUGGAGAGCUAUCCAUGCUGCAAGGCGGAGAGUGACUGUACGAUAUUGUGGAAUGCCGGGGCUUGAAGCGACUGAGGGCGAAGCACGGCACACAGGCAGGGUGCCGGGUCGGAGAGGGCCCGGACCUGCGGCUGGCCGGCCUCCUCGCUGAGCUCAUCCGGCAUGCACGUGAGCCAGCCACUGCUACCCGCACGAUGGGCGCCCCACUGCUUCCGCCCUCGCGCAGGACCCUGGGUGCGGCCCGCUCGGAUCAGGGCAUGUGGUUCAUGUAGGUGUGUGAUGCGCCGAUGGUGCAGCGCGUAUCCGAAGAAGGGAAGGACACGAAGAGCCCGCUAGCCGCAUAGCCCGAUUCGACAGCAGACGGCCCGUCCUAGACGGCGAGGAUGUGGCCGCCGUGCAGCAGAGGUAGGUGAGCUGUAGUGGUGUAUGCGCGUAUAUCUGUUGCGGACGUGCUCGCCUGUAGAACGGACACAUUGAAGGCAGAAAAAAAAGUAUUUGACCUUCACAGCUCUUAUUUCGCUUGAGUGCUUUGGUGCUUCUUGUUCACCUCACCCAUGCGCGCAUAACCUGUUGUCCCCUUCUCCCUCCCUCUCUCCCCUCCUCUCCCCCCUCCCCCACGCAUGCCGUUAACUAACAGCAACACCCUCCACCCAGCUACCUGUCUGUUUCCCUGUCUCUCGUGUGGUUGGCGGGCGUCCUUUGUGGCUGAAAGAAGACCCCAUUGUCGGUGUGUCCCGUAUGUCUCUCCGUCCCCCCCCUCCCCUCUUCGUCCGUGUUGGUCUUUAUUGGAAUGUUCGCUCGUGCCAUCGUCUCCUCCUUCUCGUGUUUGGAAGGGAAUUCUUUGGCGAGACGCGCUGAACACAUCUUCUGCUGGAGUUGUCUUUCAUGCUUUUAGUUUUUUUUUUCGAUGUUGAGCCGUUCGCAGCCUAUGUCUUUCUCUCUCUUGACUUCCGUGUGCAUCCAUGGCGUGUGUGCGUGCGCGUGGUGGGGACCCGUUCAUGUUCUUGUGUGUAUCUAAGUAAGUCGUCCUGUGUUCUGUUCUUUGUUACCUCCCCCACUCCCUUUCUUUUUGCUUCUCGGUGUCCCUCCCACACUGUGUGCGCCCGUGUGCUCCGUCUCUUUCCGCGCGUUUCUGUGUGCGUGUGUGUGUGCGUCAUAGUUGGUCUGUUUCUGGUUUGAUCACUCCGUGUAUUUUACAGCAUACCUGCCUCUCUGUCCAUCUGCGUGUGUAUAUAUAUAAACAGGACGAGGUGUCUGUGCGUAUUCGUGUCUGCGCCAUCGGGGAUGAAGGGGUGGCGUGUGGUGUGUGGGGAGAGUGCGAGCCUUCCAGCCGUCCCCCUCCGCACCCCCCCCCCACCCCCCUCCUCUUCCUUCUCCUCGUGCAAUGUACAAGUGGAUGAGCGCAUGCGCCAACAUAAAACAUGGAAACACUAUCACAAGCGAAUUGGGAAGGUGAGAGGUAAGCGGUCUGCGCCGCCAAGGCAUGGAGAGGGGCGGGUGGUAGCGGUGGAGGGUGCAACACACCCGCACCCCUUCCCUGUCCCCCCCCCACCUCACCCACGCGCACAACCACUGGCGCGCAUGGGCGCGCAGUCUU